CCUACGGGAGGCAGCAGUGGGGGAUAUUGCACAAUGGGGGGAACCCUGAUGCAGCGACGCCGCGUGGGUGAAGAAGCGCCUCGGCGCGUAAAGCCCUGUCAGCAGGGAAGAAAAUGACGUUACCUGAAGAAGAAGCCACGGCUAACUACGGGCCAGCAGCCGCGGUCUUACGGAGGGGGCAAGCGCUAGCCGGAUUUACGGGGGGUAAAGGGGGCGCAGACGGCGGUGCAAGCCAGGAGUGAAAGCCCGGGGCCCAACCCCGGGACUGAUUGUGGAACUGGGUGGCUGGAGUGCAGGAGGGGCAGGCGGAAGUCCAGGUGUAGCGGUGAAAUGCGUAGAUAUCAGGAGGAACACCGGUGGCGAAGGCGGCCUGCUGGAAUACAACUGACGUUGAGGACCGAAAGCGUGGGGAGCAAACAGGAUUAGAUACCCGAGUAGUC
RNAcentral lists this ribosomal RNA (440 nucleotides) under uncultured bacterium. Its description in RNAcentral is "partial 16S ribosomal RNA". It matches the Rfam family "Bacterial small subunit ribosomal RNA", at positions 338 to 795 of the family's 1533-position model. The record is from RNAcentral.